UAAAGGAAGCGAUUCCGGCUACGGAUGGUCAUGCGUCGCAUUAGCUUGUUGGCGGGGUAACGGCCCACCAAGGCGACGAUGCGUAGGGGUUCUGAGAGGAAGGUCCCCCACACUGGUACUGAGACACGGACCAGACUCCUACGGGAGGCAGCAGUGAGGAAUAUUGGUCAAUGGCCGCAGGGCUGAACCAGCCAAGUCGCGUGAGGGAUGACGGUCCUAUGGAUUGUAAACCUCUUUUGUCAGGGAGCAAAGGGCGCCACGUGUGGCGUUUUGCGAGUACCUGAAGAAAAAGCAUCGGCUAACUCCGUGCCAGCAGCCGCGGUAAUACGGAGGACGCGAGCGUUAUCCGGAUUUAUUGGGUUUAAAGGGUGCGCAGGCGGAAUGUCAAGUCAGCGGUAAAAUUUCGGGGCUCAACCCCGUCGUGCCGUUGAAACUGGCGUUCUUGAGUGAGCGAGAAGUAUGCGGAAUGCGUGGUGUAGCGGUGAAAUGCAUAGAUAUCACGCAGAACUCCGAUUGCGAAGGCAGCAUACCGGCGCUCAACUGACGCUCAUGCACGAAAGCGUGGGUAUCGAACAGGAUUAGAUACCCUGGUAGUCCACGCAGUAAACGAUGAAUACUAACUGUCCGGGCAGAAUGAUGCCUGG
This 644-nucleotide ribosomal RNA is filed under the name uncultured bacterium. Its description in RNAcentral is "bacterial SSU rRNA". It matches the Rfam family "Bacterial small subunit ribosomal RNA", at positions 202 to 842 of the family's 1533-position model. The record is from RNAcentral.